GGUCUUGUAGCUCAGUUGGUUAGAGCAACGUCUUGAUAAGGCGUAGGUCAUUGGUUCAAAUCCAAUCAGGACCACCA
This 77-nucleotide transfer RNA is filed under the name Bacillus cereus. RNAcentral's name for it is "tRNA-Ile". It matches the Rfam family "tRNA". From Rfam's summary of the family: Transfer RNA (tRNA) molecules are approximately 80 nucleotides in length. The record is from RNAcentral. RNAcentral also lists the same sequence under 1 other name. Lineage: Bacteria; Bacillati; Bacillota; Bacilli; Caryophanales; Bacillaceae.